RNAcentral lists this long non-coding RNA (7671 nucleotides) under Pongo abelii (Sumatran orangutan). RNAcentral describes it as "lincRNA". Lineage: Eukaryota; Metazoa; Chordata; Mammalia; Primates; Hominidae. The record is from RNAcentral.
GGGUGGAUGGAGGCCAAAGGUUGGCCCCUUGGAGACAGCCUUGGGGUGCAGCCAGCUCUGCCACCUCUCCCUGGCUUCCUUCCCUCCAACCUGUGACUCCUGGGAUGUCCCUGAUGGGCCAGCCACUUGGGACCGGGAAGUAACUGUGGUGUGUGGUGGUCACCCUCACCAGAGUUCAUGGGGUGGAGCAAGGGGGACAGAAUCUCCCCCAAAAUCAGGUGUCUUGUUCCCAGGCCCAGCACAGAGACCUGGCCCCCAGACAUCUCUGGACAUUUGUUAAGAGUGGACGACUGCUUCCUUUACACAGGAGAGGAAAUCGAGGCUCUAAGGGGUCUCAGACUUGCCUGGCUGCUACAGUGAGCAGGCAACAAAUGCCAAGUGGCUGCCACAAUGGGGUAGGUGGGAGGCAGUGGCUGAACCAGAAAGUGCUGCUGUCGAUUCUGCUAGUUGCGUGAGUCUUAGGAGAUGAUUAAAGGGCAGAUUGUGGGGAGAUAAAAAGUAUGAGUGGGGAACAGGACUAGGGGGAGCGGAAGAGCCUCAAAGACCCUGCGACAUUCUCAACGUCUCGAUGGUGACUCAGAGAUAGCUCCAACCCGCAUGGCGUGCAGAGUGCGGAGGGGAUGGCUUUGUGUCUGGAUUAGUCAUCCCCGUGCAACUCACCCCAAAUCCCGGCUUCCAGCCCUGGGCCAUCCAUGCCGGGACGGAGGAAGGGCAGCCUCUCCCCAGGGCCACAUCCUGGAGCCUGAUGACCCUGGCCAGCACACAGCUGAAAGCAGCCCACUGUGCAAAUGGUGCAUGAGACAGGGAGUCGGCUCUGUGUUCCCCACGGUGGCCAAAGGACCAGCUGUGCCUCAGUUUCCCUUAUUCUAUCAUACUUUGAAGAAGGUCCCUGUAAAAGCGCAUCUAUUUUCAGGGUAGGGGCCAGAGUCAGCCACCCACACAAGAGUGGGAAUUGGUGGGUGCCCUAGCCCUGGCAGGAUCUGGCAUUUUGCUGGACGGAGAGAGGAGGCGGCACCCACUGGGGCUCGGGCAACCAUCCCGGCUACCCCCGCCCCAGCCCGCCAGGAGAGGAGGGAAGCCUUGAAGUGCCAGGCCUUUGAAUCGCGCAUCUCCAUGGCAACGCGUGGGCACAAAGGGCCGGGCCGGCAAGCAGGCGGCGGCUGCGCAAGCUGGAAGGAGGAAGGGAAUCUUUUAUUUAUGGGGAGGGAGAGUCGGGGAGCCAGGCUGUGCCCACGCUCAGGGCCAGGCCGCAGUCUUGAGGCUGGGCCCCCUGCCCCAUAGCCAGGGCCUCUGAGCAGCACCCACCCACACACCCCUGACCCUCCGGGCCCAGCUGGGUGGACGGAGCAUGGGCAAAUGGAGGGCAGAAUGGAGUGAGCGUCCAGCAUGCACUCAACCUGGAGAGCGGCCCAGAGGGUCCCUGGGAGCCUGCCAUCCUCCAUACCCCAGUCUCUGUGAUGCGGGCACCCGGGCAGAUACCAUGCUGAGAGCCAGCUGGGCCUGCAAUGAGGAAACACGGCCCAAAGCAGACUCUGCAGAGCUGGAACUCAGGUGGGGCUGCUGCCAUAGGCUCUGAAGACAGGGCAGGAGACUGGGAGGGGCCACCAUGCCAAGGCCCUGAGGCAAGCCGGAGCUGGGAGCAUCUGAGGAUGGGCAUUAGCGCGGGGCUCCAGGGUACAGCCGGUCCACUGCAGGCAGCCUGGCCUCCCCAGAGACCCAGCCACAGCUCCUCACCUUGGACAGGGGGCCCUGGGCCUUGGGCAUCAAAUGACCCGCCUACCGUGGGAGAGGCUGCCACACCAGGAUGCCGGCCCACGGCCUCCAGCGGCCCAUCCCCACCUUCCCAAGCCCCUCCCCUCAUGGCUCACACCCCGUUCCCUGAGCCCCCAAACAUGGGAAAUGGCACCUAUUGUGCCCCAGCGGGGGAAUUCUGACCCCAGACCCUGGGGGCAGUGCAGAAACCACCACUGAGUCAGAUUUUAUUUCAUCUAAAAAAUAUCUGAGCCAGAUUAAAAGGAGUGGGGAAAGGAUCCCAUGGCUGCUUCUCCCAGCCCCACCCUCCACAGGGGCCCUGGCCCCUCCCAGCCCCAUUUCUUUCCUUGAGAAUGUCUAAAGUAGGGCAAUAUUUUGUGAAAUUGGAGGCACCGCGUUGGAAAUUCCAAACCUGUGUGUACGAUGAGCUGCACGCACAUUUCGAACCUGCCCUGGUUUUGAGCUGAGGGAAGUGGAACAUGCAGGAGUUGCCCACUCCAGAGGCCCUGGGUGUGUGUGAGGAGCCCUGAGGCUGGGCCGAGAGCAGCUUGUGGGAGGCACUGUGCCCCCUGCCCCCGAGAUCAGGGCCUGGGUGCCCAGGACACUACAGGGCAGCCUGGGGGGAGCCUGGGGGUUGGGAAGCCUAGAGCUGGGACCCACAGGCCAGAGUCUGAGCUUUCAUCCCCCAGCCCCGAAGACGCUCCCCCAGCCACUGUCUGCGCAUCAGGGGAGACAGACUCCCCCCACGCCCACCUUGCCUCCAGCAGGGCUGUUCCUCCCCUCAUCUGCUGGAAUCAGUUUUUUCUUUAACUGAGCCCCAUGGUGGGGAAGGGAGAGCUCCAGGGGACCAGGCAGCAGAGAGGGGAGGGGAGAAGCCAUCAAACAGGCCGGGGGCUGGGGGGCCGUGCACUCAGCACAGAGCCCCACACAGCAGGAGGGGGCUGGGUGGCCAGCUUAGAGCCCAUCCUCUCCUGGACACUGUUCUGGAAUGGCCCCUGGCCCCUCCGUUCCAAAGACGGGACCCUCUGGCCCAGGACCCCGGAUGAUGUCCCCAAAUCACCUCUCUUCCCAGACCUCCUCAAUGGCAAUGAAUGGUGCAUCCUGGCUGUGGCCGCCGCCCCUCACUGUGAGACUUCAGCCCAGACGAGCGCCCAGCCCCUCCUGGGGUCUCAGAUACUCCGAAUGAAAGGCUCACAGCUGCCAUGCACUUCCACAGGACUUUAUGGUUCCUCCUCCACCUCCAGUGACACUUUCAUCUCUCCCCAGCUCCAUUCCAGAGGCCAGAAAACCAUGAUGUUUGGGGUCAAACAGCUGGGAGAGGCAGUUGGAACUCAGGUCAGGCCCGUCUGACUGGACUGUGCUGAGACUGGGACCUGCUCCCCUACAAGUGCUGUCAGGGCACCCUUGAUGCCCCCCAGAGCUUGCCAUGCCCCAACAGUCCAUUCAUGGCCAAAGUGUCCCCUGGCACAGGAUACCCUGGGGUGCCAUGUCUGCAAGAGCUCACACCCUUCUCUCCCCAGAUGCUGCUAACUGCUGCCAGGGGUGGGAGUGUGGAGGGCUCAGGGCCUCUUCACCCUCCCUGCACCAACUCAGCUCCAGAACACUCCCAGCAGUGAGAAGAGGGUGGCUACUGUGCUGCAGCCCCAAGGGAUGGGCAAGGCCAUGCCAGCUGGAGUCAUCCAUGUCCCCUCGGACAUAGUGGCCUCAUUCAGAGGGCAGCAUGGACAAGGGUGCAAUGAGGGCGGCUACCAGGGACAGUGGAGAUGAGGCGGUCAGGAAGCCCAGGGACGGGCCUGGAGGGACACAUGGCCAGCCUGGGACAGGGCAUGAGGCCUUUGUUCUGCGUGCUGUGGCAUACCGGUGUUGGCUCUGGCCCUGGCCCAUCUUUUGUUAGUGGUGGGCUCAGCUCUGUCCUUGGGGCUCCCUCAGCCCAGGGGCCCACCUCCCCUCUGGGCAGUCCCGAUCAACGCGUUCUGCCUCAGCCAGCUGUCAGCCACCUGCAGCUCCUCCCUCAUUGCACCACCCUGGAGCAUCACGGUGCCCGGGGCAGGCCGUGGAGACCUGGCUAGCCCAUGGUCUGCUCAGUCCUCACCAGCUGUUGUGACAGAAACAAGUCUGUGCCGAUGAGCUGAGCCGACCAGGCUGCAGCCCUCACUUUGGGAGAGGGUCAGGCCUAGCCAGGCCUGGUGAGCAGGUGUGGGGAAGGAUGGGUGCUCAUGUGCGGGAGUUUCUCAGAGUGGUGGAAGGAGGAUGGACAAUGGGGCCCAGCGGAUAGGGCAGGGAGGCAGGAAGAAGGGAUGGAGAGGGGACCAGUGAAGGAGAGUGGAGGGCACUGCCCCCGUGGGGCAGGACGGGGUGGGGCUGGUGUUAGCUGGGGUUGGGUGUGUGGGUCUGGCAGGGAGCCGGGCAUGGGAGCGGGUCCCGAGGAGUGCGAGGUUGGAGCCAGGACCAUGGGCCUCACCAAUCAUAGAAGCCUCACCUCAGGGCAGAGGGGGCUGACAGACUGGGCUGACGAGAAGGGGGGCUUCCUGUCACCAGAGAACACAAAGGGACCACUAGUGGCCUGGGCCAUGAGGCUCUGUGGCCCUCAAGGUGCUGAGCUCGAGGUGGGCCCAGCCCAUGGCUACCUUUGUGGGGACCCCACAGGGAGAGGCUGGCCUCUGAGGAUGCUCACACCUGGUUCAGCGUGGCCAGGCCCUGGCCCAGCCCAAGGUCAGCACUGGCCACUACCUGGUGCUGAGUCUCCGUCUCACCCUGUGCCAUGGUGCCCACACUAUGAGCCAGUGUCAACCCUUUGCCCAUACCCCGGGAGCCUUGUGUGUCCAUACUCAUGGCUGAGUGCCUGGGGUGGGGGUCUCUGCAUUGGGGGAGGUGGGUCCAGGGUGUGUGGCCCCUGAGAUUGUCCAUCAUGAGUGCCACCUGGAAGGUGCUGGAGCCUCACCCUGUCCUCCAGGGCCUGGAGUGUUUUGGGGAGAUCCUGUGCUGGCAUCUUGGCUGGGCCAGGAUGGUGUCUAGGAGGGAUCCUUGGGAGGGAAGCAGGGGCAUCAGGGGGCCUGGUGCUGGGGUGGGUGGCAGGAGAGGCCUGGAGGGCAGUGGCCCAGGCCAGUGGCUGGGCAGGUGUCAGGAGGGGGAGGAUGAGGUCUGGCCUCCCUGUGGCAGCUGAGGCCAGGGCCUGGGGUGUCCUGGGGUGGGACAAGGCCCAGGGCGGAGGCAGAGCCGCUUGCAUGCAGGGUGGACAUAUCCCCGCCUGGUGACGCCGGCGCUCAGUUCUGCGGCCCUCCUGCUGCCCUCCACCGGCCAUCUCUGUCCUGCAGGCCCAGCCGUCUACCUGCGGGUCUGGACAGACCCUCAGAGCCCAGGCUGGGAGGUCUCAGGAGCCAAGACGGGGUUGAAUCCCAUUUGAGGGCAUCUGAAGGAGUGAGAGCCCAUGUCAACCCCCUGCCCAGCCUUGCCCUCGGCCAGCAGCUCCUGGGGGACUCUGGUGGGCAGUGGCUAAAGAUGACAGAGGGGCUCAGAGAGGCUGAGCUGCUGUGUAAGGUCGCACAGUGAGCAGGGGCCAAAUGGCCUAGGGAGAGGCAGCAGCAAGAGGGUCCUCGGCAUGGCCACAGCCCAGGGACAGGAAACCCUGCUGGGUUCCCCAACAAGUAGCUCCCAUUCCCAGCCCUUAGGGUGUCUCAGGAGAGGUUCCGGGGAGGGUCCCAUCUGCCUCCUGCCUUCUCCCCCAAACACACCCUAAAUAGGUCCCUGCUCCCCAGCCCCUCCCACCAAGAGCUCACCCACCAGAGCUGGGGGAGAGGCCCUGCAGGGCAGCUGUUUCUCCAUGUGCUGCAGUCCUCUGGACACUGAAAGCCAGUCGCAUCCAUCUUAAUGGCAUUUAAUAUGCACAGUGAAAGUCAGCAGCCACAAGCCACGGGCGUGUGCUCAGAGCAAGGUUUACACGCAGAUGCCACCAGGCUUGGCCCAUGAGUGCCUCCUGGGUCCCAGGAGGAGUGGGGGUGGGGGUGCAGCUGGGUGGACUAUUGGUAGCAGAGACUGGGGAGGGGAAGUGGGAGGUAGGAACUGGGCUAGGCAGGGACUCGGGGGCGCUGAGGCCUGGAAUAGGGAGGCUGAGACCUCAAGGAGACUGGGACAUUGGGAGUCAAGACUUGGGGAAGCUGGGACAUGGGGCAGGGCCGAGACGCAGGGGUUUAAGAAUGAGGGUCUGGUGCGGACCUGAGUUGGAACCCAGCUGCUGCUGGCCCCAAGUAGCUGGAGAGUGUGCUGACCCCACGGUGGCUGGAGAAUGUGCUGUUGAUAUGGAAGGCAAGUGCUGGAAGGGAAAAGUUGGUCCAUUAAAUGAUACGGAAGCGGGGAAGGAAGUGUUGGGUAGAGGAGGGCGUGUCCCUGACUAGGGCCCAACCUCACGGACCUAGGUGAGGAGUAGGCACUUCCUGCCUAAAUGUUGCAUUCUCAGGACCACCCUGGCCUGCCACACCCCCAUCUUGUGCUUAUAAAACCCCCCCACCCCACCCCGAGACCUUAGCAGGCAGACACAGGCAGCUGGACGUGGAGAGGAGCACAUCAGCGGACACACACAUGGCAGCUGGAUGUCGGGAUGACGCACUGAUAGCACCACCAUGCUGGCAGGCCACCGACUGGCAGAACCACACGGAGUUUGGCUGGGGCAGUUGGAGGAGAGCCCGGGUGCAUAGCGGCCCCACUCCAGGGGAAAACCUUCCCAAUCCAUCCCUUUCUGGCUUCCCCUAUCUGCUGGGAGCCACCCUCCACUCAGUAAAACCUUGCACUCAUUCUCCAAGUCCACAUGUGAUCUGAUUCUUCUGGUACACAAAAGGCAAGAACCCCGGAUCCAGAAAGCCCUCUGACUAACACAAGCCACCCUACAGAUGACAAACUAAAAGAGCCCCCGUAACACAUCCCCACUGGGGCUUCAGUUGUAAAACAUUCACCCCUAGACACUGCUGUGGGUCGGAGCCCCACAACCUGCCCAUCUGUAAGCAGCCCUAGAGGUUUGGCAGGGGCACUGAAGAAGCGAGCCACUCCCUUUCUCACAUACCCUGCUAGGGCAACAAGGGAACUUUUUCCGUUUCACUGGCCCAAGGUGGCUGCACAGUGUGCUGGCCCCACGGUAGCUGGAGAGUGUGCCAUGCUCCCUGGCUUUCCUCCUGAUGUAUAAAAUGGGUUAGCAGAUCCUGGGGGCUGUUCCCACAGUGAUGUGGUGGAGGCUGACCCUGACACCCACCCCUGCUGAAUGCUCAGUGAAUGGUGGUCACUGUCAGGAAACGCCAUUGCUGUCCUCCAUCAGUGUCUGUGGGGCUGGGUGACUCUUGGAGAUGCCUCCAGCAACGUUGCACUGCCGGACAGAGGCCGUCCACCUGCCUCUGGGCUCCUGGUGUGAACAGAUAGAUGGAUGGGUGGCCUGCUGCAUGCAUGCAGGGAGCUGAGGCUGGGUCUUCACCUAUGGGCAAGAGGCUAUGCAGGGCUCAGGGAAAGACAGCACUGUGGCUAGGACAGAGCCCAUGAUAAUGAGACACCCUUGGUGCCCCAGGCCUCCCUCCUCGCUCCUGCCCCUCCAGGACAUCACCAGAGCCCCCCUUUGCUCUUUUGGGGGGAUGUCUGGCUGUCUGUGGUUGCUGUCACUCUUGAUCCCACCCACCCCUGCUGGUUGCUGCAGGACAAGACAGGAGUCAUCUCAUGGCUUUCCCUGGGAUCUCUGUAUCCGCUGAGAACUGGAGCUGCACACAGCCUGUCCAGCAUCCUGGGAACUCACCCUGUUGCUGCGUCUGUCCUGGGUCUCCUGGGCUCACUCCUUGCCAUUCAGAUCCCCUGUGAGGAGAGCACUGGCUGUGAGUUGCUCUGUGGGCUAGUGAUGGCGAGGCAGGGCUGGAGUGAUCCAUCACGAAUAGUUCUUUUUUUUUUUUU